RNAcentral lists this ribosomal RNA (445 nucleotides) under uncultured bacterium. RNAcentral describes it as "partial 16S ribosomal RNA". It matches the Rfam family "Bacterial small subunit ribosomal RNA", at positions 354 to 796 of the family's 1533-position model. The record is from RNAcentral.
GUGAGGAAUAUUGGUCAAUGGGCGGGAGCCUGAACCAGCCAAGUCGCGUGAAGGAAGAAGGAUCUAUGGUUCGUAAACUUCUUUUGCAGGGGAAUAAAGUGCAGGACGUGUCCUGUUUUGUAUGUACCCUGAGAAUAAGGAUCGGCUAACUCCGUGCCAGCAGCCGCGGUAAUACGGAGGAUCCGAGCGUUAUCCGGAUUUAUUGGGUUUAAAGGGUGCGUAGGUGGAUUGAUAAGUCAGCGGUGAAAGUUUGCAGCUUAACUGUAAAAUUGCCGUUGAAACUGUCGGUCUUGAGUGCAAAUGAGGUAGGCGGAAUGUGUUGUGUAGCGGUGAAAUGCUUAGAUAUCACGCAGAACUCCGAUUGCGAAGGCAGCUUACUAAGCUACAACUGACACUGAAGCACGAAAGCGUGGGGAUCAAACAGGAUUAGAUACCCUGGUAGUCC